AACCCCAACCCCAAACCCUAGCCGCCGGGGAGCUCGUCUGGGCCAAGACCAAGGGCCGACACCACUGGUGGCCCGCGCGCCUCCACGCCCCAUCCUCUGAAUCCCCCCUCGUCUCCUCCCUCGGCGCCGAGUACUCCGACGACCACCGCCCCGCCGUCGCCGUCAAGCCCUUCCUCGCCGCCCCCGACGCCGACGCCCUCGCAACCGCCAACAAAGGCCUCGCCUUUGUCGCCGCCGUCGCCCACGCCAGGGCCACCGCCGUCGCCAUCCUCUGCGACGCCCUCACCUGCCCCUGCGCCCGCGGCCCCCAAGAAUCAUCCCAGGCCGACGACAACAACAAGGUCGUCAUCACCGCCGUCUCCAACCUCCUCGAGCCCCGCGAGUUCCUCGCCGCGCUCCGCAGCGCGGCCGUCGACGCCCCCGCCCUCGGCCUGCUGGACCACGCCCGCCUCAAGACCUGGGUCCAGGCGCUCGCCCAGGGAUGGGGCCCCGACGGCCCGGGCCGCUACCAGCGCCGCACCAAAGACGACCUCAUCGACAAGAUUGAUCUCGACAUGCUGGCCGACGACGGUGCUGCCUCUGAAGAGGAUGAGGAGGAGAAGAAGAAGGCCGUGGUGCAGCACAAGACGCCCAAGCAGAGAAAGAAGCGCACCAAAACCCCCACUCCAAAGGACAAGGAGGAGGAGGAGGAGGACAAAGCCGAGAUGGCACACAAGACCCCCAAGCAGACAAGGAGGCCCGCCAAAGCCUCGCUCAUGGACUCCGAGGAGGAGGAGGAGCAGAAACUCAGCAGCCAGAACAAGGCCGAGAGCGGCACUGCCCUCUCCGGGAGGCGCGAGCGCAAGAAGAGCAAGUAUCUCUCGCCGCCCUACACCAACAUCGGCGUCUUUGCUCUUGAGGACAAGUCAGAUGAUUCGCCAAAGAAAUCGCCGCCCGCCAGAGCUGCUAACAAGGAUGAGAGCAAGUAUAACAAGGGGUCACCGGAUGAGAAGCACAAGAAGAAGAGCAAGGUGGUGGUACCGCCGCCGCUUCCGCUUCCGCUGGACAAUGUUGCUGCUCAGGAGGUCCUGCUGCUGCUGCGCUGCUUCGGGGAGGACGUCUCUCACAAGAGGCACUUCCCCAAGGCCGCGGAGGACUUCCUUGGCCUGCUUAGGAGCUCCGUGUUUGCCGAGGGUGCUCACCAUGACUCCUACAAGGACCAUGAAUGCUCACACAUUCCCAAGAAUGCUGCUGUUGAGAAAGCUGCUGCUGCUGCAGAUGUCCUGGUUUCAGAUUCAGCUGCUACUCCCAAACAAGGCAAGGGUAAGCGUGGUAGAAAGAAGAAGGAUCAGGAUGGCAGUGCCGAUUCUUCUUCUAUCAACAACAACAACAAGAAGAAGAAGAAGAAGAAGACGGCCGCUCUUGACUGUGCAGCGGAGGAUGCUUCUGAGGAGAAUAAGAAAGAGGAGAAUGUUUCUGACAAGAAGAAGAGGGGCAGAAAGAAGAAGGAGCAGGAGCAGGAUGGAACCUCCCCAAAAGGCUCUGUUAUCAACAAGAGGAAGAAGAUUGACAAAACCUCCCCAAAAGCAACUCUUGGGCCUGCCUCUGCCUCUGCCUCUGGCUCUGGCUCUGGCUUGGUUAUCACGCCCGCCAUUCCUAUCAGGCAGGUGAGUGCUGAGGAUAUCAUGAGCCAAGUCAAACCAGGCAUGGGAGCUGGGGUUCCUGAUCCCAAGAUGAAGAACAGCUUGUUGGUGUCAAAGAGCCCUAUUUCAGCUACAAUGUCUGGAGGAGUAAAAUCAGGAGAGGAGCAGGAGCAAGGGGACGGUGGAUCCGUUGUGAAUGCUUCAUCUGACCAAUCUGCCAAAAAGAAUGAGGAGGAAGCAACAAAGCCAGCAACUGAUAUGAAUGUGGACGGAGAUGUGCCCCAGACUCAAGUUACAAUGCCUGUGAAUGUGGAUAUGAACGUGGAUACUACUCUUAGCCAAGAUGUUGCUGCCAAACAUCAGGCUGAUGUUAAAAUGCCUGAAGCUGCUGGUAUGAAUGUGGAUAUUCUUAACGCAGAUGUUGCUGCCGCAAGUGCCCAGGCACAAGUGAUGACUCUGCCUGAAACUGGUGGUAUUCAGUUAUUAGAUAUGAAUGUGGAAAGUGUUGUAGAUGUGCCUGUCGUCACAAGUGUCGAGAUGGAAGCCAUGGAGCUGGAAGCUAGUAUUCCUGUACUAGAUAUAAAUGAACAAGUUGCUGCUGUUGAAGAUGUGCCUGCUACAAGUGGCUUGCUUCCACCUAUCAUCCAUGGAGAUAUCAUAUCCCAGCCCGCCGAUGAAAACAAAGACAAAAACGCAAGUGUGCAAGUUCGUGCAGUUCAAGAGUCAUACACAUCUCUGAUUCAGGCGAUGCUGCCGGAAACGUACAAGAAAGUGGAGGAGGUCGCUGCUGGAGCAGGUGCCGUCGCGGCGCCUCAAGGUGAUGAGACUCAAAAGGUUGAAGAGACUAGCCAGAACAAGGCAGUUGCUGCAAAAGGUAGUGGUGGUGCUACCAAUGGGAGCCCCUGCCCUCCUGAUGCGCCCAACUCUGCCCACAAGAGGAGAAACAAGAAGCCCGCAGCAGCAGCAUACUUUGCCAACCCAGCAGAGAUCCGGGUGAAAUUCUUGGACGGCACCAUGGUCCCCACCAAGGAGGAGCUGCUCUCAGAGUUCCGCAGGUUUGGCGUCCUGGUGGAGUCGGAGUGCGACAUAUCAGAAGAGCGCCGCGACGCGCGCGUGGUGUUUGGGAAGAGCACCGAGGCAGAGGCGGCCUACACCAAGGCGGAGAUCCCAGGCAUCUUCGGGCAGUUCGGGCCCCCCUGGGCCACCCUGGGGCUCAACUACCUGGAGGCGAUCACGCUUGCGCCUGCCCGUCCCGCCAAGCCCCUGCUGGCUCGUGCCGACAUGAGGAAGAACGUGGAGAACAUGAUCUCGUCCCUGAAGAACGGGCGGUCUUUGCCGCUCAACGUUGGAGCGGCGGCGUUCCCAGCCGCUCCCGCUCCCGCUGGAGGAGGAGCGGCGCCCGUGUCGGCGAGCCUCCUUGCUGAGAUGCAGCGGCUCCUGUCCAAGCUUGACAAGACGCAGCCCCCCCCUGGGCCUUCGGGCUCGGCUCCUCCUCCGUCGUCGUAGGCCUUCCCUGCCUGCAUGCCGUAGUGAUGGAUGGAUCCAUGGAUGGAGCUUGUGUUGCUGCUCCCUAGCUUAGCUAGCUAGUUAGUGAACUACUUGUUUUAUAUUUUCGGUCUAGGCAUGAACGCACGCACUCGCAUAUGCUGGCUGUCUUUUGUUGAUUAUUACUUACUACAUUAGAGAUGCUGCCGCUGUUGCUUUUAUUAUUUCCAGUCGAGUUGAUGAUGUAGUAGCCAGAUGAACUAGAUGUAUGGAUGGC
Molecule: ribosomal RNA, 3384 nt
Filed under: Triticum aestivum (bread wheat)
Lineage: Eukaryota; Viridiplantae; Streptophyta; Magnoliopsida; Poales; Poaceae
Description: partial small subunit ribosomal RNA
Source: RNAcentral